CUUAAGCAUAUCAAUAAGCGGAGGAAAAGAAACCAACAGGGAUUGCCCCAGUAACGGCGAGUGAAGCGGCAACAGCUCAAAUUUGAAAUCUGGCCUCGGCCCGAGUUGUAAUUUGCAGAGGAAGCUUCUGGUGCGGCGCCGUCCGAGUCUCCUGGAACGGAGCGCCAUAGAGGGUGAGAGCCCCGUAUGGACGGAUGCCAAACCUGUGUGAAGCUCCUUCGACGAGUCGAGUAGUUUGGGAAUGCUGCUCUAAAUGGGAGGUAAAUUCCUUCUAAAGCUAAAUAUUGGCCAGAGACCGAUAGCGCACAAGUAGAGUGAUCGAAAGAUGAAAAGCACUUUGAAAAGAGGGUUAAACAGCACGUGAAAUUGUUGAAAGGGAAGCGCUUGUGACCAGACUUGAGCGCGGCGGAUCAUCCGGUGUUCUCACCGGUGCACUCCGCCGUGCCCAGGCCAGCAUCGGCUUCCGCGGGGGGACAAAGGUCCCGGGAACGUAGCUCCUCCGGGAGUGUUAUAGCCCGGGGCGCAAUGCCCCCGCGGGGGCCGAGGACCGCGCAUCUGCAAGGAUGCUGGCGUAAUGGUCAUCAGCGACCCGUCUUGAAACACGGACCAAGGAGUCAAGGUUUUGCGCGAGUGUUUGGGUGUUAAACCCGCACGCGUAAUGAAAGUGAACGUAGGUGAGAGCUUCGGCGCAUCAUCGACCGAUCCUGAUGUAUUCGGAUGGAUUUGAGUAGGAGCGUUAAGCCUUGGACCCGAAAGAUGGUGAACUAUGCUUGGAUAGGGUGAAGCCAGAGGAAACUCUGGUGGAGGCUCGCAGCGGUUCUGACGUGCAAAUCGAUCGUCAAAUCUGAGCAUGGGGGCGAAAGACUAAUCGAACCAUCUAGUAGCUGGUUACCGCCGAAGUU
RNAcentral lists this ribosomal RNA (902 nucleotides) under Schizothecium inaequale. RNAcentral describes it as "LSU rRNA". It matches the Rfam family "Eukaryotic large subunit ribosomal RNA", at positions 33 to 968 of the family's 3401-position model. Lineage: Eukaryota; Fungi; Ascomycota; Sordariomycetes; Sordariales; Schizotheciaceae. The record is from RNAcentral.